Molecule: transfer RNA, 74 nt
Filed under: Candidatus Omnitrophota bacterium
Lineage: Bacteria; Pseudomonadati; Candidatus Omnitrophota
Description: Candidatus Omnitrophica bacterium (groundwater metagenome) tRNA-Arg
Rfam family: tRNA
About the family: Transfer RNA (tRNA) molecules are approximately 80 nucleotides in length. Their secondary structure includes four short double-helical elements and three loops (D, anti-codon, and T loops).
Source: RNAcentral
GCGCCCGUAGCUCAAUUGGAUAGAGCAUUUGCCUUCGGAGCAAAGGGUUACAGGUUCAACUCCUGUCGGGCGCA